AUUCCAGCUCCAAUAGCGUAUAUUAAAGUUGUUGCAGUUAAAAAGCUCGUAGUUGGAUUUCUGAUAGGGAGCCGAUCACCACUGUUGUGAGUGUUAGGUACCUGUCAUCCUUCUGUUAACCCCUGCGGCAUUCAUUUGUCGUUGGGCGGACCAGAUACUUUACCUUGAGAAAAUUAGAGUGUUUCAGGCAGGCCUAGCCGGAAUACAUUAGCAUGGAAUAAUGGAAUAGGACUAUAGUCUCGUCGUUGGUUACGUGGACUGCAGUAAUGAUUAAUAGGGAUAGUUGGGGGCAUUAGUAUUUAUUAGCUAGAGGUGGAAUUCCCUAAUUUGAUAAAGACUAACUUAUGCGAAAGCAUUUGCCAAGGAUGUUUUCAUUG
RNAcentral lists this ribosomal RNA (377 nucleotides) under Strombidiidae sp. RNAcentral describes it as "partial small subunit ribosomal RNA". It matches the Rfam family "Eukaryotic small subunit ribosomal RNA", at positions 582 to 975 of the family's 1831-position model. The record is from RNAcentral. Lineage: Eukaryota; Ciliophora; Spirotrichea; Strombidiidae.